RNAcentral lists this ribosomal RNA (407 nucleotides) under uncultured bacterium. RNAcentral describes it as "partial 16S ribosomal RNA". It matches the Rfam family "Bacterial small subunit ribosomal RNA", at positions 28 to 526 of the family's 1533-position model. The record is from RNAcentral.
GACGAACGCUGGCGGCGUGCCUAACACAUGCAAGUCGAACGAAGUGGCGAACGGGUGAGUAACGUGUAAUCAACCUGCCCUUCAGUGGGGGACAACAGUUGGAAACGACCGCUAAUACCGCAUACUGCAGGUGGGGAAUGCGUCUGAUUAGCUAGCGGGAAGGGUAACGGCCUACCAAGGCGAGGACCAGUAGCCGGGCUGAGAGGAUGACCAGCCAAGCUGGGACUGAGACACGGCCCAGACUCCUACGGGAGGCAGCAGUGGGGAAUAUUGCGCAAUGGGGGCAACCCUGACGCAGCCAUGCGGCGUGAGUGAAGAAGGCCUUCGGGUUGUAAAGUUCUUUCGGUAGCGAGCGGUAACUACAGAAGAAGCACCGGCUAACUCCGUGCCAGCAGCCGCGGUAAUUC